RNAcentral lists this ribosomal RNA (488 nucleotides) under Panulirus argus (Caribbean spiny lobster). Its description in RNAcentral is "partial 16S ribosomal RNA". It matches the Rfam family "Bacterial large subunit ribosomal RNA", at positions 1843 to 2572 of the family's 2925-position model. Lineage: Eukaryota; Metazoa; Arthropoda; Malacostraca; Decapoda; Palinuridae. The record is from RNAcentral.
UUAUGUAAAGUCUAGCCUGCCCAGUGAUAAUUGAAUUUAACGGCCGCGGUAGCAUGACCGUGCUAAGGUAGCAUAAUCAUUUGUCCUUUAAUUGAGGACUGGUAUAAACGGCUGCACAAGAAAUUGUCUGUCUCUACUAUAAAAUUUGAAAUUCACAUUUAAGUGAAAAGGCUUAAAUGGAAUAGGGGGACGAUAAGACCCUAUAAAUCUUUACAAUUAGGGCUUUAGUUAUUAGAAAGUAGUUAUGGAUCUAAAUCUAAGGUUUAAAUUGUUUUGUUGGGGCGACAGAAGUAUAAUAAGUAACUGCUUUGGUUUUCAUAUUAAUUGUUUUUAUUAUGGUUAGUUUAAAAGAUCCUCUUUUGGAGAUCACAGACUAAGUUACUUUAGGGAUAACAGCGUAAUCUUUCUUGAGAGUUCAUAUCGAAAGAAGGGUUUGCGACCUCGAUGUUGAAUUAAAGAACCUUUAUGGUGUAGUCGCUAUAAGAGGA